CCUACGGGUGGCAGCAGUGAGGAAUAUUGCACAAUGGGGGAAACCCUGAUGCAGCGAAGCCGCGUGAGUGAAGAAGUAUUUCGGUAUGUAAAGCUCCAUCAGUAGGGAAGCAAAUGAUGGUACCUGACUAAGAAGCCCCGGCUAACUACGUGCCAGCAGCCGCGGUAAUAUGUAGGGGGCAACCGUUAUCCGGAUUUACUGGGUGUAAAGGGAGCGUAGAAGGCGCGGCAAGUACGAAGUGAAAGGCAGGGGCUUAAACCCUGAACUGCUUUGGAAACUGCCAUGCUAGAGUGCUGGAGAGGUAAGUGGAAUUCCUAGUGUAGCGGUGAAAUGCAUAGAUAUUAGGAAGAACACCAGUGGCGAAGGCGGCUUACUGGACAGUAACUGACGUUGAGGCUCGAAAGCGUGGGGAUCAAACAGGAUUAGAUACCCGAGUAGUC
Molecule: ribosomal RNA, 440 nt
Filed under: uncultured bacterium
Lineage: Bacteria
Description: partial 16S ribosomal RNA
Rfam family: Bacterial small subunit ribosomal RNA
Source: RNAcentral